This is a long non-coding RNA of Cervus elaphus (red deer), 608 nucleotides long. RefSeq lists it as uncharacterized. NCBI's taxonomy places the organism in Eukaryota, Metazoa, Chordata, Mammalia, Artiodactyla, Cervidae. The transcript is spliced from 2 exons. The record is from RefSeq and is a predicted model, not a curated record.
CCACCCCCUCCCCUCGGUCUCCCGUGCGGUGCCCUGAGAGCUGGAGGCUGACGUCAGGGGCCUGAAUUCCUGACUUUGCCUGCACGCAUUUGUCCAUGUAAGUAAGGUUCAAAUGUCCUGGAUGUCGGAACUGGCCCCGACCAACUUCCAGCCCGUCCACUUCACACGGGAAAUCUGAAGCUCUCGGAAGAGAAACGACUCGUACAAGGUCAUGCCCGCCACAGAUCCCGGCGCGGGAGCCGGAUGCUCAGUCUCCCAGCUAUGUUCCUGGCUGCAGGCGAGGGCCCGACUACCUCCUUCCCGAGGACCAGUCAGCGGGGCUGGAUGUCAGAGGGCAACGCGGACCACCCUGGGAAGAGAUUCGGAGCUUCCCCGGGGCCCCUACGCGGUCAGUUCCUGGAAGGUUCUGAUUGCCAGUGAGCCCUGCAUAGCCAUGCUGAUAAGUUGCUUCAAGGCAACUCCAGUGCUCAAAUAACGAACCCCUGGAAUUUACUUCACAGCCCUAUCCAGAAACCCAGAUCUUGUGCUUAUAGCUUCAAAAAAUAAAUAAAUAAAUAAAUCUACGAACUGGGUGAAUUAGUUGAAUAAAGGCAAGACUGUUCUUGGAA